This 32-nucleotide non-coding RNA is filed under the name Mus musculus (house mouse). Lineage: Eukaryota; Metazoa; Chordata; Mammalia; Rodentia; Muridae. The record is from RNAcentral.
UGAACACAUUGCAAAAGGUUUGCCUGAUGGUA